This 433-nucleotide small RNA is filed under the name Botryosphaeria dothidea. RNAcentral's name for it is "eukaryotic LSU rRNA". The stretch from base 79 to 232 matches the Rfam family "5.8S ribosomal RNA". The record is from RNAcentral. Lineage: Eukaryota; Fungi; Ascomycota; Dothideomycetes; Botryosphaeriales; Botryosphaeriaceae.
GGGUGGCCAGCGCCCGCCAGAGGACCAUCAAACUCCAGUCAGUAAACGAUGCAGUCUGAAAAACAUUUAAUAAACUAAAACUUUCAACAACGGAUCUCUUGGUUCUGGCAUCGAUGAAGAACGCAGCGAAAUGCGAUAAGUAAUGUGAAUUGCAGAAUUCAGUGAAUCAUCGAAUCUUUGAACGCACAUUGCGCCCUUUGGUAUUCCGAAGGGCAUGCCUGUUCGAGCGUCAUUACAACCCUCAAGCUCUGCUUGGUAUUGGGCACCGUCCUUUGCGGGCGCGCCUCAAAGACCUCGGCGGUGGCGUCUUGCCUCAAGCGUAGUAGAACAUACAUCUCGCUUCGGAGCGCAGGGCGUCGCCCGCCGGACGAACCUUCUGAACUUUUCUCAAGGUUGACCUCGGAUCAGGUAGGGAUACCCGCUGAACUUAAGC